AGGUAUUAUAUCAUAAAGAGAGAUAUUGAACAGUACCACAGUUAAUGCGGCUAAAACUGUACUGUUAUUACUAUCUG
Molecule: transfer RNA, 77 nt
Filed under: Arthonia kermesina
Lineage: Eukaryota; Fungi; Ascomycota; Arthoniomycetes; Arthoniales; Arthoniaceae
Description: tRNA-Cys
Source: RNAcentral